This 492-nucleotide ribosomal RNA is filed under the name uncultured bacterium. Its description in RNAcentral is "partial 16S ribosomal RNA". It matches the Rfam family "Bacterial small subunit ribosomal RNA", at positions 29 to 507 of the family's 1533-position model. The record is from RNAcentral.
AGUGAACGCUGGCGGUAGGCCUAACACAUGCAAGUCGAACGGCAGCACAGUAAGAGCUUGCUCUUACGGGUGGCGAGUGGCGGACGGGUGAGGAAUACAUCGGAAUCUACUUUUUCGUGGGGGAUAACGUAGGGAAACUUAAGCUAAUACCGCAUACGACCUACGGGUGAAAGCAGGGGAUCUUCGGACCUUGCGCGAUUGAAUGAGCCGAUGUCGGAUUAGCUAGUUGGCGGGGUAAAGGCCCACCAAGGCGACGAUCCGUAGCUGGUCUGAGAGGAUGAUCGGCCACACUGGAACUGAGACACGGUCCAGACUCCUACGGGAGGCAGCAGUGGGGAAUAUUGGACAAUGGGCGCAAGCCUGAUCCAGCCAUACCGCGUGGGUGAAGAAGGCCUUCGGGUUGUAAAGCCCUUUUGUUGGGAAAGAAAAGCAGCAGGUUAAUACCCCGUUGUUCUGACGGUACCCAAAGAAUAAGCACCGGCUAACUUCGUG